This 754-nucleotide ribosomal RNA is filed under the name Sarcogyne wheeleri. Its description in RNAcentral is "Sarcogyne sp. JA-2019e partial small subunit ribosomal RNA". The stretch from base 1 to 428 matches the Rfam family "Bacterial small subunit ribosomal RNA", at positions 376 to 873 of the family's 1533-position model. Lineage: Eukaryota; Fungi; Ascomycota; Lecanoromycetes; Acarosporales; Acarosporaceae. The record is from RNAcentral.
CGAAGCCUAGUUGUAUUAACUAUUAGUUAAUGCAAGAUCGACUACGUCCGACUAAAGUUUCUAGGGUAGAAUAAUGAUGAUGACAAUUUUUCUACCUAUAUGUCUUUGACCAAAUCUCGUGCCAGCAGUCGCGGUAAUACGUGGAAGACUAGUUGUUUAUUUCAUCUUUUAAUAGGUUUUAAAGGGGUACCUAGACGGUAUUUUUUAGCCCAAAACAGGGUACGGAUUUUACUAGAGUUUUUAUGUGAGGAGGGGAGUACUCGUAGAGUAGAGAUGAAAUUUUUGUGAUACUAUGAGGAAACUGGUGGGCGGCGAAAGCAACCCUUCUAUGUAUAAACUGACGUUUGAGGGGACGAAAGGCUUUGGGGUAGCAAAUAGGAUUUAGAUAACCCUAGUAGUUCCAAGCAAGAACAAAUUUCUUGAAUGCCAAUAGAAUUAGGAUUUAUUUUUUGGGUUCUUAUUAAAUGAAAAGUGGUAAAGCAAUUUCCAACCUUUAGGAGUAAUUGUGUGGCAAACACACAGGGAACCUGGAAAAUCAUUAGAACCGGUUUUCUUGAAAACCAGGUAGGUGAAGAGAUAUGUGUUAUUUUAAAUUUUGAUAAGUCCUUCAAAAAAACCUUAACCACACAACCUUGGAAAGUGUUAAUAAAAAUUAAAUUCACAAAGCGCGUGUGGACACGGCGCGUGUCCCUUAGAGUUAUAUUGCUCGGUAGAGGAUUUUGGGUUAAACUCUCAUUAUAUAUAACGUUAAACC